CACGUAGGGCGCAAGCGUUGUCCGGAAUUAUUGGGCGUAAAGAGCUCGUAGGCGGUCUGUUGCGUCCGCUGUGAAAACUCGGGGCUUAACCCCGAGCCUGCAGUGGAUACGGGCAGACUAGAGGUAGGUAGGGGAGAAUGGAAUUCCCGGUGUAGCGGUGAAAUGCGCAGAUAUCGAGAGGAACACCUGCGGCGAAGGCGGGUAGCUGGGCCGACACUGACGCUGAGGCGCGAAAGCCAGGGGAGCGAACGGG
Molecule: ribosomal RNA, 253 nt
Filed under: uncultured bacterium
Lineage: Bacteria
Description: partial 16S ribosomal RNA
Rfam family: Bacterial small subunit ribosomal RNA
Source: RNAcentral